RNAcentral lists this long non-coding RNA (314 nucleotides) under Gossypium barbadense (sea-island cotton). RNAcentral describes it as "long non-coding RNA (GBAR_LNC012474)". Lineage: Eukaryota; Viridiplantae; Streptophyta; Magnoliopsida; Malvales; Malvaceae. The record is from RNAcentral.
UAGCUUUGCCUGAACGUUGUUGGUAGGUGGGAUAUGCUUGAAAGAUCUGAUGAUCCAAUUCCCUUGAUGGUCUCGAACACUGAACCAAUAUGCUAAAAUGGAUAUUUGAGUUAAUAGGGGAAGGGGAUAAGAAGAGGACUAGAUCUUCAAUUAGUGACGAGGAGGUGGAGCAAGAUAGUAGUUGGCUAAAAGGACAAUGAAAGUGUCAACUUACACUAAGAUGUCGGUGGAGGCCAAAGACCAGCUUCACACUGGUUGCCAUGAGACUACUAAGUUGGAUCUAUUGUGGGCUUGAGAACUUACCAAUUAUUUAG